Molecule: long non-coding RNA, 1112 nt
Organism: Salmo salar (Atlantic salmon)
Lineage: Eukaryota; Metazoa; Chordata; Actinopteri; Salmoniformes; Salmonidae
Source: RefSeq, a predicted model, not a curated record
CAUGUUCUAAGAGGUGAUAGAUUUGUUUCCGUGUAUAACACAAUGUGAACCUACCAGUCUGCAACUUUCACCUGUAUCCACACUAGGUGCACCAGUCGACAGUAAACUCAGGUUUUGGGGAUUCAACUCGAUCCGGAGUCAGGUGGAUAGAAGAUCCUGCAUCCACUUUGUCAAUUUAACUGCAAAACAGAGAUCUGGGGAAGAGAGAUACGAUGACCCAUUCCCCUGACUUAUCUGGUCUGGGGAUCAUUCAGCUGGGGAAGACUGGAGCAGGGAUGAGUGCAACAGGAAACACCAAAGAGGUGUUUAUAGAAGAGUUCUCUUCGGAGUCUGUGACUACACAAUGUGAGGAUGUCCAGAGGAUGAAGAGUACAGCUUGGGACACUACUGAAACAGCAGGAGGAGUAGCAGCAGGAGGUGCAGCAGGACGAGGUGCAGCAGCAGCAGGAGUAUCAGGAAAAGUAGCAGCAGGAGAAGGGGGAGUAGCAGGAGGAGGUGCAGCAGGAGUAGCAGGAAAAGUAGGAGGAAAAGUAGCAGCAGGAGAAGGGGGAGUAGCAACAGCAGCAGCAGGAAAAGUAGCAGCAGGAGGUGCAGCAGGAGGUGGUGCAGGAGCAGCAACAGGAGCAGGAGUAACAGAAGGUGUACUAGCAGCAGUACUAGGAGGAGUAGCAGGAGCAGUAGUGGUACUAGCUUUGGGAAUACCUGCAGGAAUAGCAGGAGCAGGAGUAGCAGCAUUUGCAGGAGUAGCAUUUGGAGAGAUUUUUAAAAUAAACGUACACCGAAAUUGACAAAAGGCGGGUGGAAAAGAGAACGCCUCGAAAAAGGUAGUACAGAUCUGGUUAACAGCAACAAUUAAACUACAUGAGAGUAUAUCAUUUUCAGAAUUGUGUGUUUGUUUCACUAGUUAAGACUAAUGUAAAAUGUGUGUGUUCAAAUUAUAAAACAAAUUUACAUCAAUAUACCUUUAUGGAAGGAACUUAUGUACUUUUAAAAAUCAGUCUAUCCCACUUAUUUAUCAUUGCAAUGUGAAUAAAUGUUACUAUCAUGUUUGUGUAGUGAAACAUGGGUAAUUUCAUGGUGUUUUUAAAAUAAUCAAUGAAGGAUAUCACUGA